AAUUCUAGUGGCGGACGGGUGAGUAACGCGUGGGUAACCUGCCUUAUACAGGGGGAUAACAGUCAGAAAUGGCUGCUAAUACCGCAUAAGCGCACAGAGCUGCAUGGCUCAGUGUGAAAAACUCCGGUGGUAUAAGAUGGACCCGCGUUGGAUUAGCUUGUUGGUGGGGUAACGGCCCACCAAGGCGACGAUCCAUAGCCGGCCUGAGAGGGUGAACGGCCACAUUGGGACUGAGACACGGCCCAGACUCC
This 251-nucleotide ribosomal RNA is filed under the name uncultured Blautia sp. Its description in RNAcentral is "partial 16S ribosomal RNA". It matches the Rfam family "Bacterial small subunit ribosomal RNA", at positions 88 to 339 of the family's 1533-position model. Lineage: Bacteria; Bacillati; Bacillota; Clostridia; Lachnospirales; Lachnospiraceae. The record is from RNAcentral.